UCACCCAUACAGGAUUCCAAGUUGACGCUUCAAUUCUGAUGCCACUUCCUUCCGAUGCAGAGUUGCUUUGUCUGAGCUGAACUGCAGGUGUGAGGCCUGGUUGCUUCACUGUCUUCUCAGGCUCCCAAGAGAUUAUUGAUGACCACAGUUUGGAAACCUCUCAACCUUGAUCAUUCCUUGAUGUCUUCUAGAGUAUGAGUGGGAGAGAAGCAGAGAGGGAGACACAGAAUCCGAAGCAGGCUCCAGACUGAGCUGUCAGCACAGAGCCCAACGCAGGGCUCGAACCCAUGGACCACGACCUGAGCUGAAGUCAGACACUUAACUUACUGAGCCACCCAGGUGCCCAUUUUGUCUUCUGUUCUAUCAGCAAAAGUAUAUCUAUGAAAACUCAUGACUUUGGAUGAAUAAGUUCUAAUUGUUCUGUUUUUUCCUGGAAGGAGAACAUAGUUUAAAGAAGUCUGAUAAAUGGUAUGAGAAAGGAGUCCAGUGUUAGAGACCAAAGGGAUGCAGCCAGAAGAAAAAAAAUGUGGGCUCUAGAGCAUCAACUAUGUAACUCAGUCAUAGCACCAGAUAAUUCAUUGAUGACUGCACCUCUCUUGGGAAAAGUAUUUUCAGUGAUAUCCCUUGAAAGAGACAAGAAAUCCUUACAAAAAGAUGACAAACCUGGAUUGAAAUUCCAACUUGGUUAUUUGCUACAAAUGUACUGUGAUUCUCAAUUUCUUUAUAAUAAAAUGAUGAGUGUAUCAAC
Long non-coding RNA from Neofelis nebulosa (Clouded leopard), 748 nucleotides. RefSeq lists it as uncharacterized. The record is from RefSeq and is a predicted model, not a curated record. The transcript is spliced from 3 exons. NCBI's taxonomy places the organism in Eukaryota, Metazoa, Chordata, Mammalia, Carnivora, Felidae.